UCAGCAGCCGCGGUAAUACGUAGGGUGCAAGCGUUAAUCGGAAUUACUGGGCGUAAAGCGUGCGCAGGCGGUCCGCUAAGACAGAUGUGAAAUCCCCGGGCUUAACCUGGGAACUGCAUUUGUGACUGGCGGGCUAGAGUAUGGCAGAGGGGGGUAGAAUUCCACGUGUAGCAGUGAAAUGCGUAGAGAUGUGGAGGAAUACCGAUGGCGAAGGCAGCCCCCUGGGCCAAUACUGACGCUCAUGCACGAAAGCGUGGGGAGCAAACAGGAUUAGAUACCCUGGUAGUCCACGCCCUAAACGAUGUCAACUAGUUGUCGGGCCUUCAUUGGCUUGGUAACGUAGCUAACGCGUGAAGUUGACCGCCUGGGGAGUACGGUCGCAAGAUUAAAACUCAAAGGAAUUGACGGA
RNAcentral lists this ribosomal RNA (409 nucleotides) under uncultured bacterium. RNAcentral describes it as "bacterial SSU rRNA". It matches the Rfam family "Bacterial small subunit ribosomal RNA", at positions 508 to 917 of the family's 1533-position model. The record is from RNAcentral.